CCCCCGUUUCCGCAGACGAUACACAUUUCGCAACUUUUGAUAUUUCGUGGUAAAUUUUUGUCCUCAAAGACAGCUUUUGAUGAGUUGAAUUCGGGGAUUUACUAUGUCCCCACUUCAUGACUUUGUUUUUCAUGAAAAUGUCCGGAGGAAUUCGUGAAUUGAUUGAUCGAGUAAACACUAAAACAGUGCAGAAAUCGACAGCAGAAUGGCCUUUGACUUGCUGGCCAAAGAUGAAUCAUUUUGUAGAAUGACAAGUACUUAGCAGCACCAUCCCAAUUUCCAUGCAAGAACCACUUCAGUAAGAGACCAUAUCAAGAACGCCUAGCCAGAGAUGCUUCUCCUUGUGUAGUGAAGAGUGCUGAGCUAUGGAUUCACUUCACCUCGCUGCCAUCCCCAAUUUCUUGGAGGGGUUAAUUCAUAUUGUGAACUUAUUGAGGAUCAACAUUGAAGACGAAAACGGGGCUAAAAAGAACGACUGGCCAGGAUGGUUGCGCCAAGCUGCCAUGUGGACAACUGUUUGGGAAGAAAAGGGAGCCAAGCAUCUCUGGAUCAUGAUUGAAGACUGGUUCCCUACAUGCAAGAACAUGGUGAAAAACAAGGACUUAGGCUGGAAUAGUUGCCCGAGAUGUUAAGAGUGGACGACUGCCUGCAAAGUAAAGAGGUUCUCGCCUAUUUCAAGAUCCGGGGCAUGGAUGUCACCAAGGUUGUCCAAGAGAGACCCGGCACCAUAUUACUGCAGGAAAAGACUACGCGGUUUCGUUACAUGGCUAAGUAUCCACUGACAAACUGUCAAAAAGGGAUGGCGACUUGUGUGCCUCCCAGCUCCCCUGUAAAUAUACUACUUGAAAUGAUUCCUUGCCUGUGAUCUAAGGCAAAGUGAGAGCUGCUGAAACAGACGCCAGUCAUUGGACUUGUGACAGUGAUGGCUUGCCUGCACAGGAACAAAAAUUUGCAAUUGGCCAAUUUAAGGACAACCAACAGGCAUUGACAACAUCACAAUAGGCAACUGAGAGUGAGGACGAGUCUGUGACAGGAUGCCUUGCCACAUAUCUACAUGGUAGCUACCUCACUUAGGCAAAUGAUGAGAGAAGAGCCACUCGAUGAAAGGAUGAAUGCGACCAGGAUGUCAAAGUUGGAGAAAGGUUUAUGACUGUGUAAUGGCUUACUGAUUUAUGAUAGGUCUAUUUCUGUUUCAGCAUGGUUUCAAGAUCUGAGGACAGGGACAAAACAAGAGAGGCCUGGUGAAACCAUCACUGAGCAAUGAUGCACUUCGAACCUCACAUUUGGAACAGCUACUUUGGACGAGACCUAGCUUUGGUUUAAGCGUUACAUCCUCAGAUGUUACAGAACAUGCAGGACAUGGAGAAUGUCAAGAAGAACUGUGUGGCACCGAAAAUACCUGAAAAUUGACUUUUUCAGCUAAGAAUGACUUUGUAAUUGUCGGCCAAAAGGUUUAGAUGUUAUACUUAAAUUGCUCAGGACUGUGGCUUACUCUUAAGGUAGCAUUGAAAACAUUUCAUCCUGGAUGCAGAGAAAGACAGUAGUUGGAUUACUUGUUAAUUAGUUUGAGUGUUAGUUUUCACUGUUGAAGGAUACAGACACAGAUGUGAAUCGGCAGUGAAGCCACUGAAGGUCCUUCUCAAGCGAGGAACCAAUGUCUUGGUAUUGCAGCCAUUGUAGCUUAGGUAGUGUAGUGACCAAGAUGUAGUUGUUUCCAGUUAUUAAAAUCCAUGGGGUUAGUUGCAUUUAACCUUGAGACUGUUGGACUCGAUCCACUGAAUGUGAUAAAAUCAUCAUAGUUGAAUGUCUAGUUCUGCCAAUUAUUUUGGAAUUCGGUGAGGGGUGAAAACUAUAUUUAAAAAAAAAAAUACUGUAAAUGAGGUGUUUUACCUAAAUUGGAAUGCUAUGUAGCAAAGAAAAGUACUCAGAAAGUCCUUUCAGAAGAUAUAUAAUGAAAGAAGCUUUGAUGAUUGAUUGAUUUUUUUUUAAUUGUUGAAAAAAGUGUUUUUGAAGAAAAAUCACAUCCUGGUAUUGUGACAGAAAAAAUAAUGCGAUCUCAAAGAGGUAAAAUCCAUUGGGUUAGUCACAAUAACCUUGAGUCUGUUGGACUAGGUCCACUGAACUUGAUAAAUAAUCGACACUGAUUUACAUAUAUGAAGAGUCUGCAUUUUGGUGCAACUCCGUAUAACUGUUAGGUGAUUUCGCUCUGAACUUGUGACACUCUGAUCGGUCUGAAAUAAUCAUUAUCCCGCCCCUCUGGGAAAAUUUGCAGCCAGAUUGCACCAUUGCCUGCUACCGUCUGAGAGAUGGCGAUGUCAGGGGCGCAUGACGGUGGUUAAACCUAUUGCGAAUGGGCAGCACAAUUGGGUGUAGGAUAUUCAGAAACCAUUGCACACUCCUGAAUCUGCGGUGGGUUGGUACCCCACGCUACGUAAGGAGUAGGUUGACGAGUAAAACUUGGUCCACGUGAAUGGGUCGUGCCUUAAAAUGAUGAGAAGUUGCGAAUUGACGCCCUGUGAAGUGUCCUUCGACCAGCUAGUGCUAAUCCGGUCACUGUCUCCAGGUCACCAUGCCUCGGUCAAUGAGCGGGCGAAGCACCCAAUGGCUCCGUCAGGAGUACAUCGUCAACUUCAGCCCGUAGUCAAACCGGUACACGCACAAAUAUCUUAGUUGAGAGUGGGGGACAUCAGUAAAGUGCUUCUCAUCGGGGUAAUACAGUACCACUGUAUACAAUGACCCCAUUUUUUGUUGGAUUCAUUUCCGCUGAGGAGUGGUCGAUAAUGAGAAUUUCAGGCCAGUCUGAUUAUCACCAGUACAGAGGGCAAUUAUCUAAUAGUUAUGUGGCUUUCCCUCAAACUGUAUACUCUUUCAUGUCAAUUGUAAAUUAGUGUUGCUUGGUAGUGUUCAGGGUCUUUUUGUCGAACAGGCACAUCUGCAUACCAGUAAUUAUGUGCAAACAUCAUUUUUGCUUUGAAGCAAUAUCGUUGCUACACUUGUGAAGCAGUGGCCGUGUUCAGGUAUUGUCUGCCUCGCUGACAUGUCUGCAUACCAGUAGUUAUGUGCAGACUUGGCUCUUUCUUUGGAGCAGUACAGUUGUAAGAUAAAUCCUGUUUGUAAUUUUAUAAAUUAGUUGCUCAUUAAGGGCUUACAAAGGUUUUGCUGCCUUGCUGGCAUAUCUGCAUACCAGUAAAUAUGUGCAGAUUCGUUUCUUGCUUUGAAGCAAUAUUGUUGCUACACUCCUAAAGCGGUGGCAAUGUUCAGGUCUUUUCUGCCUCGCGGGCAAAUCUGCAUACCAGUAAUUAUGUGCAGACUUGGCUCUUCCUUAGAUUGUAGGACUGGGUCCAUUGAAUGUAACAAAAAUAAUCGAUGCCUAUUUACAAAUGAAAUGAAGAGUCUGCAUUUUGGUGCAACUCCAUAUAACUGUUAGGUGAUUUCGCUCUGAACUUGUGACACUCUGAUCGGUCUGAAAUAACCAUUAUCCCGCCCCUCUGGGAAAAAUUUGCAGCCAGAUUGCACUAUUGCCUGCUACCGUCUGAGAGAUGGCGAUGUCAGGGGUGCAUGACGGUGGUUAAACCUAUUGCGAAUGGGCAGCACAAUUGGGUGUAGGAUAUUCAGAAACCAUUGCACACUCCUGAAUCUGCGGUGGGUUGGUACCCCACGCUACGUAAGGAGUAGGUUGACGAGUAAAACUUGGUCCACGUGAAUGGGUCGUGCCUUAAAAAGAUGAGAAGUUGCGAAUUGACGCCCUGUGAAGUGUCCUUCGACCAGCUAGUGCUAAUCCGGUCACUGUCUCCAGGUCACCAUGCCUCGGUCAAUGAGCGGGCGAAGCACCCAAUGGCUCCGUCAGGAGUACAUCGUCAACUUCAGCCCGUAGUCAAACCGGUACACGCACAAAUAUCUUAGUUGAGAGUGGGGGACAUCAGUAAAGUGCUUCUCAUCGGGGUAAUACAGUACCACUGUAUACAAUGACCCCAUUUUUUGUUGGAUUCAUUUCCGCUGAGGAGUGGUCGAUAAUGAGAAUUUCAGGCCAGUCUGAUUAUCACCAGUACAGAGGGCAAUUAUCUAAUAGUUAUGUGGCUUUCCAUCAAACUGUAUACUCUUUCAUGUCAAUUGUAAAUUAGUGUUGCUUGGUAGUGUUCAGGGUCUUUUUGUCGAACAGGCACAUCUGCAUACCAGUAAUUAUGUGCAAACAUCAUUUUUGCUUUGAAGCAAUAUCGUUGCUACACUUGUGAAGCAGUGGCCGUGUUCAGGUCUUGUCUGCCUCGCUGACAUGUCUGCAUACCAGUAGUUAUGUGCAGACUUGGCUCUUUCUUUGGAGCAGUACAGCUGUAAGAUAAAUCCUGUUUGUAAUUUUAUAAAUUAGUUGCUCAUUAAGGGCUUACAAAGGUUUUGCUGCCUUGCUGGCAUAUCUGCAUACCAGUAAAUAUGUGCAGAUUCGUUUCUUGCUUUGAAGCAAUAUUGUUGCUACACUCCUAAAGCGGUGGCAAUGUUCAGGUCUUUUCUGCCUCGCGGGCAAAUCUGCAUACCAGUAAUUAUGUGCAGACUUGGCUCUUCCUUAGAUUGUAGGACUGGGUCCAUUGAAUGUAACAAAAAUAAUCGAUGCCUAUUUACAAAUGAAAUGAAGAGUCUGCAUUUUGGUGCAACUCCAUAUAACUGUUAGGUGAUUUCGCUCUGAACUUGUGACACUCUGAUCGGUCUGAAAUAACCAUUAUCCCGCCCCUCUGGGAAAAAUUUGCAGCCAGAUUGCACUAUUGCCUGCUACCGUCUGAGAGAUGGCGAUGUCAGGGGUGCAUGACGGUGGUUAAACCUAUUGCGAAUGGGCAGCACAAUUGGGUGUAGGAUAUUCAGAAACCAUUGCACACUCCUGAAUCUGCGGUGGGUUGGUACCCCACGCUACGUAAGGAGUAGGUUGACGAGUAAAACUUGGUCCACGUGAAUGGGUCGUGCCUUAAAAAGAUGAGAAGUUGCGAAUUGACGCCCUGUGAAGUGUCCUUCGACCAGCUAGUGCUAAUCCGGUCACUGUCUCCAGGUCACCAUGCCUCGGUCAAUGAGCGGGCGAAGCACCCAAUGGCUCCGUCAGGAGUACAUCGUCAACUUCAGCCCGUAGUCAAACCGGUACACGCACAAAUAUCUUAGUUGAGAGUGGGGGACAUCAGUAAAGUGCUUCUCAUCGGGGUAAUACAGUACCACUGUAUACAAUGACCCCAUUUUUUGUUGGAUUCAUUUCCGCUGAGGAGUGGUCGAUAAUGAGAAUUUCAGGCCAGUCUGAUUAUCACCAGUACAGAGGGCAAUUAUCUAAUAGUUAUGUGGCUUUCCAUCAAACUGUAUACUCUUUCAUGUCAAUUGUAAAUUAGUGUUGCUUGGUAGUGUUCAGGGUCUUUUUGUCGAACAGGCACAUCUGCAUACCAGUAAUUAUGUGCAAACAUCAUUUUUGCUUUGAAGCAAUAUCGUUGCUACACUUGCGAAUUGACGCCCUGUGAAGUGUCCUUCGACCAGCUAGUGCUAAUCCGGUCACUGUCUCCAGGUCACCAUGCCUCGGUCAAUGAGCGGGCGAAGCACCCAAUGGCUCCGUCAGGAGUACAUCGUCAACUUCAGCCCGUAGUCAAACCGGUACACGCACAAAUAUCUUAGUUGAGAGUGGGGGACAUCAGUAAAGUGCUUCUCAUCGGGGUAAUACAGUACCACUGUAUACAAUGACCCCAUUUUUUGUUGGAUUCAUUUCCGCUGAGGAGUGGUCGAUAAUGAGAAUUUCAGGCCAGUCUGAUUAUCACCAGUACAGAGGGCAAUUAUCUAAUAGUUAUGUGGCUUUCCAUCAAACUGUAUACUCUUUCAUGUCAAUUGUAAAUUAGUGUUGCUUGGUAGUGUUCAGGGUCUUUUUGUCGAACAGGCACAUCUGCAUACCAGUAAUUAUGUGCAAACAUCAUUUUUGCUUUGAAGCAAUAUCAGUGCUACACUUGUGAAGCAGUGGCCGUGUUCAGGUCUUGUCUGCCUCGCUGACAUGUCUGCAUACCAGUAGUUAUGUGAAGACUUGGCUCUUUCUUUGGAGCAGUACAGCUGUAAGAUAAAUCCUGCUUGUAAUUUUAUAAAUUAGUUGCUCAUUAAGGGCUUACAAAGGUUUUGCUGCCUUGCUGGCAUAUCUGCAUACCAGUAAAUAUGUGCAGAUUCAUUUCUUGCUUUGAAGCAAUAUUGUUGCUACACUCCUAAAGCAGUGGAAAUGUUAAGGUCUUUUCUGCCUCGUGGGCAAAUCUGCAUACCAGUAAUUAUGUGCAGACUUGGCUCUUCCUGAGAUUGUAGGACUGGGUCCAUUGAAUGUAACAAAAAUAAUCGAUGCCUAUUUACAAAUGAAAUGAAGUGUCUGCAUUUUGGUGCAACUCCAUAUAACUGUUAGGUGAUUUCGCUCUGAACUUGUGGCAUUCCUUCAAACUGUUUACUCUUUCGUGUCAUUUAUAAAUUAGUAUUGCUUGUUUUACCUCACAUCUCGCAUUUGUAAAUUAGUGUUGCUUGUUUUACCUCACAUCUCGCAUUUGUAAAUUAAGAAUGAAACUUGCUCUGGUGGUGCAACUGGGACAACGUUGCAACCUGUGGUCGACGUCUGUCUGUAGAUUAGUUUUGGAUUGUGACAUUGUCUCGGCUAUGUACAACUGUCCACAAGAGCUGAAAACUUGUUGCUCUUCGUCCAUUUAAUAUUGGGCCUAUUGCACUCAUAAUUGGUGUUGACCCCAUCUGAACUGGUGGUCUCUACUAUACUGUCUGCCAAGUAAUGCUGCAUUGAGUGACGCAGUAUCCUCCAUUUGCCUCUGUGCUCCAAAGAUGUGAAAAAGGAACGUUCCUGUGAAGUAAAAAGGUAUAUCCAUUUCCAAAGGCAGUCCUCGUAUUCACUAGGGAAACUAAUGAAGAAACUACAAUUUCAUAUGCCAUAUUUCAUUAUUAGAAAUAUCACUUAACUGAUGACAAUCACCAGCUUGACAAAAGGGUCAAGAAAUAAUUAAAUGUACAAUCUGCAGUCAACAUAGAUUCAUUACCUGUGGCAUCAAGACAUUUCCUGGCUUCUGGUAGUGUUCCGUUACUUUUUCCAGAAGCUAAAACUAAACUGAUUUAAAAAUUUUUGCAGCAAACUGUAAUAAAUCAUUUCGUUUA
Molecule: long non-coding RNA, 7137 nt
Organism: Lineus longissimus
Lineage: Eukaryota; Metazoa; Nemertea; Pilidiophora; Heteronemertea; Lineidae
Exons: 8
Source: RefSeq, a predicted model, not a curated record